CUGCCCUCAAGCACGGCUUGUGUGUUGGGCCGCCGUCCCCCCUGCCCUUCUCUGGGCGGGGGGGGGACGGGCCCGAAAGGCAGCGGCGACAUCGCGUCCGGUCCUCGAGCGUUAUGGGGCUUUGUCACCCGCUCUGUAGGCCCGGCCGGUGUUGGCCGACGCUUCGCACCGAAGCAACCCAAUCUUCUAUUCAGG
This 195-nucleotide unclassified non-coding RNA is filed under the name uncultured Trichocomaceae. RNAcentral describes it as "sequence contains ITS2". Lineage: Eukaryota; Fungi; Ascomycota; Eurotiomycetes; Eurotiales; Trichocomaceae. The record is from RNAcentral.